Molecule: ribosomal RNA, 377 nt
Filed under: uncultured bacterium
Lineage: Bacteria
Description: bacterial SSU rRNA
Rfam family: Bacterial small subunit ribosomal RNA
Source: RNAcentral
AUACGAAGGUGGCAAGCGUUGUUCGGAAUCACUGGGCUUAAAGGGCGCGUAGGCGGAUCAGAAAGUGUCUUGUGAAAUACCCCGGCUUAACCGGGGAAUGGCUCGGCAAACUACUGGUCUUGAGGCAAGUAGGGGUGCGUGGAACUCUUGGUGGAGCGGUGGAAUGCGUAGAUAUCAAGAGGAACGCCGAAGGUGAAGACAGCACACUGGACUUGCCCUGACGCUGAGGCGCGAAAGCGUGGGGAGCAAACAGGAUUAGAUACCCUGGUAGUCCACGCCGUAGACGAUGCCUACUAGGUUGUGGGGGUUCUGACACUUCCACAGUCGUAGCAAAAGUGUUAAGUAGGCCGCCUGGGGAGUACGGUCGCAAGGCUAAA